AUCGACGGCGGUGUUUGGCACCUCGAUGUCGGCUCAUCUCAUCCUGGGGCUGUAGCCGGUCCCAAGGGUAUGGCUGUUCGCCAUUUAAAGAGGUACGUGAGCUGGGUUUAAAACGUCGUGAGACAGUUUGGUCCCUAUCUGCCGUGGGCGUUGGAAAUUUGAAGGGGGCUGCUCCUAGUACGAGAGGACCGGAGUGGACGCACCUCUGGUGUACCGGUUGUCACGCCAGUGGCAUCGCCGGGUAGCUAAGUGCGGAAGAGAUAACCGCUGAAAGCAUCUAAGCGGGAAACUUGCCUUAAGAUUAGAUUUCCCUGAGGACUUGAUCCUCCUGAAGGGCCGUUCAAGACCAGGACGUUGAUAGGUUGGGUGUGGAAGUGCAGUAAUGCAUUAAGCUAACCAAUACUAAUUGCCCGUGCGGCUUGACUCUAUAGCAUUA
This 436-nucleotide ribosomal RNA is filed under the name Hydrotalea sp. AMD. RNAcentral's name for it is "partial 23S ribosomal RNA". It matches the Rfam family "Bacterial large subunit ribosomal RNA", at positions 2504 to 2925 of the family's 2925-position model. The record is from RNAcentral. Lineage: Bacteria; Pseudomonadati; Bacteroidota; Chitinophagia; Chitinophagales; Chitinophagaceae.